RNAcentral lists this ribosomal RNA (246 nucleotides) under Escherichia coli. Its description in RNAcentral is "partial 23S ribosomal RNA". It matches the Rfam family "Bacterial large subunit ribosomal RNA", at positions 966 to 1212 of the family's 2925-position model. Lineage: Bacteria; Pseudomonadati; Pseudomonadota; Gammaproteobacteria; Enterobacterales; Enterobacteriaceae. The record is from RNAcentral.
AGAAUGUUAUCACGGGAGACACACGGCGGGUGCUAACGUCCGUCGUGAAGAGGGAAACAACCCAGACCGCCAGCUAAGGUCCCAAAGUCAUGGUUAAGUGGGAAACGAUGUGGGAAGGCCCAGACAGCCAGGAUGUUGGCUUAGAAGCAGCCAUCAUUUAAAGAAAGCGUAAUAGCUCACUGGUCGAGUCGGCCUGCGCGGAAGAUGUAACGGGGCUAAACCAUGCACCGAAGCUGCGGCAGCGAC